GUACUCACUAAAGAAGAGCUUGAACCUAUGUACUUGUGUAAACCCUUCACAAUUAAUGAGAACUCAUCUACUCCGUAGACGUAGCCAAUCUGGGUGAACCACGUACAUCUUGUGUUUGCUUUCCUAUCUCUAUCCAUUUACAUACUUAUCCACACUAAUGACCAGAGCAAUCUAGUGAAGAUCACAAACUUAAUACUUUCUGUUGUACCAAAGUCCUCACUGAUUUUGUGCAUCAACAAUCCUUAAGUCCUUACCUUUUUGCGUUGGUAAUGGAUGAAUUAACAGGACAUAUUCAAGAUGAUAUUCCUUGGUGUAUGCUUUUCGCAAACGAUAUAGUGUUGAUAGAUGAAACUCAUGAGGG
Molecule: long non-coding RNA, 361 nt
Filed under: Malus domestica (apple)
Lineage: Eukaryota; Viridiplantae; Streptophyta; Magnoliopsida; Rosales; Rosaceae
Description: long non-coding RNA (MDOM_LNC005175)
Source: RNAcentral